This 4626-nucleotide unclassified non-coding RNA is filed under the name Leishmania donovani. RNAcentral describes it as "gene:LdHU3.28.3690(CDS-product:DNA_repair_and_rec ombination_helicase_protein_PIF3_putative)". Lineage: Eukaryota; Euglenozoa; Kinetoplastea; Trypanosomatida; Trypanosomatidae. The record is from RNAcentral.
GCCGCGUCUUCCAUCUCAAGGCGAGGGCAGUAUUUGCUGCUUGUGUGCAUGGACGUAACGGUGGCAACGUGACGCGGUUGCCAGCACACGAGAUUCAGCAUCCCUGCAGAGCUACGCGAGCUACUCCCAUGCACACAGGGGGGCGGCGCACACCGAUCCACAGAAAUACGCCCGCCUCAUUCCUUCGUAACCAGAGUUACGCACAGACGCUUGCCUCUUCUAUCGGCGGCACCAACCCAUCAGCGUUCAAGACGGACCGCGCGACUGCAUUGACUUCAAGCACACCGUCUUCUCUCCGUGUCCCUUGCAGAGCGUCUUUCCAGUGGGCGUGUGCGACCAAAACGGCAAGGAAGGAGGGGUCUGGUGGGACGCAUCAUUCGACAACGGGGCCGGCCGUCGCAGCUGCAGGGGCGCACACAGGGAGAAAAAGGCAGACGGAGCAGAGGAGAGGUGGCUGAGGGCAGAAGCUUACGCUGUGCGCUGAAGGGGCGAUGCACCCGCGGAGACGUCUCCUGCGUCUUCGUGCGUGUGGCGCCGGUGUCGCUCAACAUCACGCGACGAACCCUGCUGUACGAGGGCUUCGAGCACGUUUGUUGGUGUCAUGGUCAGGCUCUACUGGCGGCACCGACUGCUGCCGCCCGCAUGCGUUGACGAGCGCCGUUCGCUUUCUCUCCCUUCGGCUGAGCGAGGGCGAGGACGAGCAACAGCAGUUUACCGUGUCCUUCCACGUGGGUGCUGGUCGCAGCAGUGGUGCGGUGGGCUCCUUUGUGGACGAGGCCCUGCGGGGCGGCACAGCGGCGCCUGCUCCUCAUUUUUUCAAAGAGGAGGACACUGUGACCGCAGACAAUCGCAGGGGCGCGACUGCGAGUGCGAAGUCACAAACUGCAGGUAACGCUGCCAGCGGUGCCAGCGGGUCUGGCAGCGACGGCAAUAGCGAAAGCUGCCGCCUGAAAUUAUCUGACGCAUCUGUGGCAGUCAUGGAGGCAAACGCGGGCGCUGCUGGGACCCGUGAAGCCCCAAGUGCGGGUGCCCCCUGCUUUCCUGUGCCACUGCCUCGCGUACAACUGCCGAUGGAGUUCGCACCGCUGCAGAAGGAGCCGACAUUUCGCGCCUCCCUCUGUGCACAACACGGCACCUGUGGCGGUUUUCACGCUACUCCGGCUGCCGCGGCUGCGCCGUCCACGAGCGCCGGAUCGGAUGCUGUUUCGCCUUCCAUCACGCCCACCACGGCGACCCAUGAGAUUUACUCGGGCCUCUUUCGAGAGAGCUUUGUGAACCCUUUCAACGGCCGUCUCGUGCGCACGACUUCCUCGGCCGCCAAGAUGCUGUUCGGCGUCGGCUUCUAUCGAGGCGUGUCGAACCCGCUGCAGAUCGAGUGGAGUCCUGCAGAGUACAUGGUGGCGCUCCAGAAAAUUAUGUCGACUCAACAGCGGAACGCAGCGCGUCGACGGGAGCGACAGGCACAGCAGGCGCUCCGAGGUGCGAAGGCCGCCGCUGCCGCUAAGCGAGGGUCGUCCGCAUCAGCCACCAAAAAAGCGAGGGCAGACGGCUCGCGUGCAAGGUCAUCUGCGAAGUGCCGUGUCUCUGAGGCAGCCCCCAUGCCAGCAGCCGAGGCGGUGGCACAGGCACGAAGUCAGCUGCUUCGGCCGUUCCUGCGACGCGGGCCCGACCACUGGACGGCGAGCGUGGCAACGCUUCUCGAGCGGCACGACGCCUUCACGUACAUGAACAAGGAGCUGGGGCAGCUCUACGCCCGUCUGCGCGGCGCGUACAUGCCCCCGAAGCUUGACACCCCCGCGGACCCCUGCACCAUGGGCAUGACGCUCACACCGGACCAGCACCACGUGGUGAAGCUGGCGCUGCGCGGCUUCAACUUGUUCAUCGGCGGCAGCGCCGGGACCGGCAAGACGGUGCUGCUCAAGUGCAUCUACCGCGAGCUUUGCCAGAUGGGACUACGGGUUGCCAUGACGGCCACAACAGGCGUGGCGGCCGUUCAGCUCGGCGGAUGCACCUUUCACCACGCAUUCAACGCGCCACUCCUCGACACAGCGCCGCAUCGGUGGGACGCCAACGCGUUGCGAGCCGUCGACGCAGUCAUUAUAGACGAGGUCUCAUUGCUGGACGCAUGCAUGCUGGACGCCUUUGACAUGGAAGCCCGACUGGCUCGCAUGCAUCACAGACCGUUCGGCGGGCUGCAACUCAUCGUUUGCGGCGACUUCCUGCAGCUCUCACGCGAGGACACGCUGCCGGCGUACGAAAGUGCUGCCUUCAAGCACUUGGUCGCGCUGCGCCUCGUCACUCCAAUGCGCCACGCCGCCGAUGACCCGCUUAUGAAGCUGCUGGAGGAUCUGCGGCGUGGCCGGUUCGACGCGGAGCGUUUCGCUGCCCUCGACAGGCCAAUACCACCUAACACCACGCACAUUACGUACCUCUUUCCUCGUCGCCGCGAGGCGCAGCAGCUCAACGAUCUUAAGCUGGGAGAGUUAAUGACACAAGAGAUGAUCUUCACCCCUCAGCGUGGGCCGCUGCAGCUGUGUGGCAGCUUCACGCACUCGGCGUUGGUGGAGCUGAACAGAGACGCCAACGGCAUGCGAGCCGCCAUGCCGAACCGGGAACGCUUGUUGGAGAUGAUUCACGAGGAGGCACAGCGCCUGCGCGCCGGCCUUCAUCGAAAGGACGGCGGUGGGAGAGAGCCUGUGCCGAGUGUAGCAGAUCACGAACUUGUUCUCAUGCCUGUGCGAGCGGAGGGGGCGCUGGAGACGCGCUUCAUUUUGCGAUUGCGGUGCCGUGAGCGGGAGCUGCACAAGCCUAAAACGAGAGAUGGAGGCGAUGACGAUGCGGACAGCGGUGAUGAUGGCGCUUCCACGAGGUCCUCGUCACUCGCUGCGGACGGCGCGCCAGCCCUCAUGGCGGGCCGAACUCACAGUAGUACCCUCGCCGCCGUCGCGGCGGAAACGUUGCGCAAGCCGGUCAUCUCUCUUGCGACGAAGCGAACGCGCCGCGCCACAGCACCUUUCUCUGCCACCGAGUGGGAAGGGAUCGCAACUGCUGUUGCCACGCGACUUGGCGGCCGCAUUGUCACGAUGUUGGAGGAGGAGCCGUCGUCUAUGGUGCCGCUCAGCGUGACCAUGACGCUGGCGGACAUGACAAGCUCCGACGUUGCCCUCUCCCUCACGCCGCUGCGACUAAAGUUGGGAUGCCGGGUCAUGGUGAAUCGCAAUCUUUCACGCACUGUGUCGAACGGCAGCGUCGGCGUUGUCGAGGCCUUUGCCCCGCCGGACGUGAGCCUCUUCCCGCGCCGCACUGACCGCGCGGCUCGCGUCAUCUUCCAGCGUGUGUGCCAGCAGAGGCUGUUUGCACAGCUCCCUGUUGUGCGCCUUCUUGGUGGGGAAGUGGUGCAGAUUCCGCCGAUCUCGAUCGUCCUCGGCGGCACGGCGCAGAGCUACUUCUACGGCCACGAGGUGCUCACCAUACCGCUACAGCUCGGCUACGCCUUCACGGUGCACAAGGUGCAAGGGCUGACGCUGCAGGGCACAGUGGUGCUGGACUGCGAGAAGUUCUUUGACUGCGCGCACCUGAUCUAUGUUGCUUGCUCGAGGGUGCGGAAACUCGAUCAGCUUGUCGUCUAUCGUGUCCAGCCGAACAUGAUCAUCGUGCGCCGCAGCGCACUGGAGUUCUCCGACCAGCUGCAGGACGCGCGCAACUCGAAAGUCUUGAUCUCCCCGCCUCCGGCUGCACGCUCCUCCUGGAGUAGGCAUACAGAACAACGCGUCUUUGCUGUUUCCGCCUAGAGGGGGCCGGAGCGGGUGCGCGUGCGUGAGCGUGUGCUAUUCCCUCUCCCGGUCGCUGCUGCGAGGAGCGUCGCUCCCGUGGCGGCUUUUGAGGCGGUGGUCUGACAGAGAGCCCCGCACAGCUUACGCAUCUGUUGUUGUUUUCCGUUAUGUACCCGUUCUUGCCUGCUGGCUCUCUGUCGUGUGUGCUUGUUCAACGCAACGCCCGCACCGCACAGCGACACGCAGGCACGGCUCAUGGCGCCGCUGCUUCUACAACUGCUACGUCGACUACCAGACACAUACACACAGAAGUAAAAACCAGCCAAGUAAGUGGCACGGCUGCGCGCCCCUCCCCACUCCCCAAAGAGCGGACCAGCAAGAUCGGCACCCAUCUUCAGGACGCAUUCACAGUCGCACGCGAAGCCCACAGCGAGGAAAGAGCGGGAUGGAGAGGCGAUGAACCAGCUGCGUGCAUGCACACGCCUGAGUGCAGCGCGCACAACUCGUGUGUACCCUGGCGGUGCGCGAUAUAACAUCGCUUGUCUCACACCGGACCCCCACACACGCGCAUACGCAGAGAGAAAGAUGAAGGCGUAGGUACGUGCGGCCCCCUCUCUCCGGUGCCGUCUUUGUUUUUGCUACGGUCGAUGCUCGCGCUGGAAGACGACGACUUGGAUGGUGGUGGUGGAGUGGUAGGGAGCUAAACGAAAGACGUGUGCUCGAUCUGCAAGGGCCCCUUGCUCGCUCGUUCUCCUGUGUGUGCACGCCGGUGCCUCCCAUCGCUUCUCCCCUGGCCACCGGCCAGCGCUCGUCUUCUGCUGUUACACACAUGAAAACAUGCUUCUCAAGGAGG